AACGAACGCUGGCGGCGUGGAUAAGACAUGCAAGUCGAACGGGAUUACUUCUGUAGCAAUACAGGAGUGAUUCAGUGGCGAACGGGUGCGUAACACGUGGGCAAUCUGCCGAGAAGUGGGGGAUAGCUCGCCGAAAGGCGAAUUAAUACCGCAUAUGAUCAGCUAAGACAUCUUAGCGACAUCAAAGCCGGGGCAACCUGGCGCUUCUUGAUGAGCCCGCGGCCUAUCAGCUAGUUGGUGAGGUAACGGCUCACCAAGGCUAUGACGGGUAGCUGGUCUGAGNGGAUGAUCAGCCACACUGGGACUGAGACACGGGCCAGACUCCUACGGGAGCAGCAGUA
Molecule: ribosomal RNA, 341 nt
Filed under: uncultured bacterium
Lineage: Bacteria
Description: bacterial SSU rRNA
Rfam family: Bacterial small subunit ribosomal RNA
Source: RNAcentral